GUGACACCCAAAUGUGGGGGCGCUCUUCUGGACACCCUGGAAAGUGCUACUACAUUUGAGUCUCACC
Molecule: microRNA precursor, 67 nt
Filed under: Nannospalax galili (Upper Galilee mountains blind mole rat)
Lineage: Eukaryota; Metazoa; Chordata; Mammalia; Rodentia; Spalacidae
Description: miRNA (ENSNGAG00000006721.1)
Source: RNAcentral